This 1417-nucleotide long non-coding RNA is filed under the name Cricetulus griseus (Chinese hamster). RNAcentral's name for it is "lncRNA (ENSCGRG00015034805.1)". The record is from RNAcentral. Lineage: Eukaryota; Metazoa; Chordata; Mammalia; Rodentia; Cricetidae.
CUCGACUCUUAGUUCCACCUAUCUUGCUUUCCUAUUGGCUAACAGUACUUUAUUUAUCAACCAAUAAGACAAACAUAUAUACAGAAGGACCUCCCCCAUAAAAAGAUUUUCAAUAAAAGGAAAGAAUGUUGCUGAGGCUUCAGCUGACACAGCAAUAUCAAAGCAUUCAAACAGAAGAAUGACAGCUGGAAAGGGACAAGCUUGGAAGAAAGUCCAAUUUAUAUCUCCCAUUAUAAAGAAGACUAUAUGUUGUCAAUGCUAAACCUGCAACAGGUAACUGAAAACAAGUUUAAAAGCCUUCAUCCAGCAGCGGAUGGAAGUAGAAGCAGACACCCACAGCUAAACAGUGAACUGAACUGGAAUCCAGUUGCAGAGAAGGAGUGAUGAGCAAAGGGGUCCAUACCAGGCUGGUGAAACCCACAGAAACAGCUGAUCUGAACAAUUAGGUGCUCUUGGUCCCCAGACUGAUCACUGGAAACCAGCAUGGAACUGAUCCAGACCCCAUGAACAUGGGUGUCCAUGAUGAGGCCUCAGAAAUCUAUGGGGCCUCUUGUAGUAGGUCAGUACUUAUCCCUAGCAUAGGUGUGGACUUUGGGAGCCCAUUCCACAUAGAGGGAUACUCUCUGAGCCUAGACACAUGAGGGAGGGCCUAGGCCCUAUCCCAGAGGAUAUGACAGACUUUUAAGAUCCCCCAUGGAAGGCCUUGCCCUCCCUGGAGAGCAGAGAGGGUAUGGGAUAGGUAGGAUGUUAGUGGGGGGGCAGGGGAGAAGGAGAGGGAGAGGGAACUGGGAUUGACAUGUAAAACAAUCUUGUUUCUAAUUUAAAUAAAAAUGGAAAAAGUAAACAGAUAAAAUAAUAAUUCUGUUUCUUUUUUGAAUUUUCAGUUGGAUGCUGAGUUUAACUGACUUUCUUUGCAAAACUUCCAGGAGCUAGUUCCUUACAUAAGAAUCUCACAGAGCCUUCAUCCAGUAGCUGAUGGAAGCAGAGGCAAACACCCACAGCUAAUCAUUGAACUGAACUCUGGAAUCCAGUUGCAGAGAAGGAGGAAUGAUGGGCAAAAGGGUCAAGACCAGGCUGGAGAAACCCACAGAAACAGCUGACCUGAACAAGGGGGAGUUCAUAGACCCAAGACUGACAACUGGGAAAACAACAUAGGACUGUUCCAGGUCCCCUGAGUGAAGACAUCAGUUUGGAGGUCUGCUUAAUCUAUGGAGCCUCUUGUAGUAGAUCAGUACUUAUCCCUACCAUAGGAAUGGACUUUGGGAGCUCAUUUCACAUAGAGGGAUACUCCCUCAGCCUAGACACACGGGGGAGGGCCUAGGCCCUGCUCCAAAUGAUAUGACAGACUUUGAAGAUCCUCCAUGGAAAGGGUAUAGGAUAGGGGCUUGGUGGAGGACAGGGGAGGGAGAGAGAACUG